UACAGAGGGUGCGAGCGUUAAUCGGAAUUAUUGGGCGUAAAGGGCGCGUAGGUGGCUCUAUAAGUUAAGUGUGAAAUCCCAUGGCUUAACCAUGGAAUUGCACUUGAUACUGUAGAGCUAGAGUAUGGUAGAGGGAAGUGGAAUUUCCGGAGUAGCGGUGAAAUGCGUAGAUACCGGAAGGAACACCAGUGGCGAAGGCGGCUUCCUGGACCAAUACUGACACUGAGGCGCGAUAGCGUGGGGAGCAAACAGG
Molecule: ribosomal RNA, 253 nt
Filed under: uncultured bacterium
Lineage: Bacteria
Description: partial 16S ribosomal RNA
Rfam family: Bacterial small subunit ribosomal RNA
Source: RNAcentral